RNAcentral lists this ribosomal RNA (815 nucleotides) under Xylariaceae sp. OTU5. Its description in RNAcentral is "eukaryotic LSU rRNA". It matches the Rfam family "Eukaryotic large subunit ribosomal RNA", at positions 87 to 929 of the family's 3401-position model. Lineage: Eukaryota; Fungi; Ascomycota; Sordariomycetes; Xylariales; Xylariaceae. The record is from RNAcentral.
CGGCGAGUGAAGCGGCAACAGCUCAAAUUUGAAAUCUGGCCUUCGGGUCCGAGUUGUAAUUUGUAGAGGAUGCUUUUGGCGCGGUGCCUUCCGAGUUCCCUGGAACGGGACGCCUUAGAGGGUGAGAGCCCCGUACGGUUGGACACCAAGCCUCUGUAAAGCUCCUUCAACGAGUCGAGUAGUUUGGGAAUGCUGCUCUAAAUGGGAGGUAAAUUUCUUCUAAAGCUAAAUAUUGGCCAGAGACCGAUAGCGCACAAGUAGAGUGAUCGAAAGAUGAAAAGCACUUUGAAAAGAGGGUUAAAUAGCACGUGAAAUUGUUGAAAGGGAAGCGUUUGCGACCAGACCUUUUCCUGGUGGAUCAUCCGGUGUUCUCACCGGUGCACUUCGCCAGGUUUAGGCCAGCAUCGGUUCUUGUAGGGGGACAAAAGCUCGGGGAAUGUAGCUCCCUCGGGAGUGUUAUAGCCCCGUGCAUAAUACCCUUACGGGGACCGAGGACCGCGCUUCGGCAAGGAUGCUGGCGUAAUGGUCGUCAACGACCCGUCUUGAAACACGGACCAAGGAGUCGAACAGUUGUGCGAGUGUUUGGGUGUUAAACCCUCACGCGUAAUGAAAGUGAACGGAGGUGAGAGCCCGCAAGGGUGCAUCAUCGACCGAUCCUGAUGUCUUCGGAUGGAUUUGAGUAAGAGCAUCACUGUUCGGACCCGAAAGAUGGUGAACUAUGCGUGGAUAGGGUGAAGCCAGAGGAAACUCUGGUGGAGGCUCGCAGCGGUUCUGACGUGCAAAUCGAUCGUCAAAUCUGCGCAUGGGGGCGAAAG